UGGCGGCAUGCUUCACAUGCUUAUCGAACGGCAGCGCGGGAGCAAUCCUGGCGGCGAGUGGCGAACGGGUGAGUAAUACAUCGGAACGUGCCCAAUCGUGGGGGAUAACGCAGCGAAAGCUGUGCUAAUACCGCAUACGAUCUACGGAUGAAAGCAGGGGAUCGCAAGACCUUGCGCGAAUGGAGCGGCCGAUGGCAGAUUAGGUAGUUGGUGAGGUAAAGGCUCACCAAGCCUUCGAUCUGUAGCUGGUCUGAGAGGACGACCAGCCACACUGGGACUGAGACACGGCCCAGACUCCUACGGGAGGCAGCAGUGGGGAAUUUUGGACAAUGGGCGAAAGCCUGAUCCAGACAUGCCGCGUGCAGGAUGAAGGCCUUCGGGUUGUAAACUGCUUUUGUACGGAACGAAACGGUCUUUACUAAUAAAGAAGGCUCACGACGGUACCGUAAGAAUAAGCACCGGCUAACUACGUGCCAGCAGACGAGGUAAUACGUAGAGUAGAAGCGUAAAUCGGAAUUAAUGGGCGUAAAGCAUGAG
RNAcentral lists this ribosomal RNA (537 nucleotides) under uncultured Variovorax sp. Its description in RNAcentral is "bacterial SSU rRNA". It matches the Rfam family "Bacterial small subunit ribosomal RNA", at positions 37 to 571 of the family's 1533-position model. Lineage: Bacteria; Pseudomonadati; Pseudomonadota; Betaproteobacteria; Burkholderiales; Comamonadaceae. The record is from RNAcentral.